RNAcentral lists this unclassified non-coding RNA (240 nucleotides) under soil metagenome. RNAcentral describes it as "partial contains 5.8S ribosomal RNA, internal transcribed spacer 2, and large subunit ribosomal RNA". The record is from RNAcentral.
AACAAGGCGUACCUGCGGACCUGCGGAGGGAUCAUUACAGAGUUGCAAAACUCCCACAAACCAUCGCGAAUCUUACCCGUACGGUUGCCUCGGCGCUGGCGGUCCGGAAGGCCCUCGGGCCCCCGGACCCUCGGGUCCCCCGCUCGCGGGGGGCUGCCCGCCGGAGUGCCGAAACCAAACUCUUGAUAUUUUAUGUCUCUCUGAGUAAACUUUUAAAUAAGUCAAAACUUUCAACAAUGG